GCCUGUGGCCACAUCAAUAUUUCACUGCUCUCAUCAGCUUUUACAAACGCAGCAGUGAGGGGCCUGGUUAGUGCUUGGAUGGGGGAACCUGUAGAGAACACCCAAGUUGUUGCAAGCA
This 118-nucleotide ribosomal RNA is filed under the name Crocodylus porosus (Australian saltwater crocodile). The record is from RNAcentral. Lineage: Eukaryota; Metazoa; Chordata; Crocodylia; Crocodylidae.